Lotus japonicus is the source of this 937-nucleotide long non-coding RNA. RefSeq lists it as uncharacterized. The record is from RefSeq and is a predicted model, not a curated record. The transcript has 5 exons. NCBI's taxonomy places the organism in Eukaryota, Viridiplantae, Streptophyta, Magnoliopsida, Fabales, Fabaceae.
UGUUUCUAAAAGUCAUUACUAAAUAAGCGUUUCUAAAGAUCAUUAUGUUCUCUAAUAUUUUACUAAAUAAAAAGCCAAAGAAAUGGGUUGUUCCCAUCUCGUGUUCACAACUGCGUCGUUCCCAUCGCCGACGCCCAUCCCCGCCGCGCAUCGAUCAUCGAUCUUCACCGCCGUUUCUGAGCCACCGUGACACCACCAACCCUCGCCGAUGUUGAAGACGAACCCAAACUCUGACUGGAGACGGUGGCCACAAAAUCGAUGCUGGUCAAUGCACUCACGCAUCAAAUCGCGAAGCUCCAUUCUUCUUCUCGAAGCUCCAUAAUCGCUGCCUCUGCGAUGGUUGUUCUGUAUGGAGAUCUCUCUCGCGCCCUUGUGAUACUCAUUCCUCUGCUCUUCAUCCAUGGCGGUCUCUGCUUCUACCUCCCUGGCAUAGUGCCGCAAGAUUUCCAGAAGGUUAUGUGAGGGUGGAGAACUGCUGGAUCAGAUAUUGGCCUAGUGUGGGCCUAUGAAUUGCUAAUUGAGAAUGACAUUAUUGAGAAAGGGGGCAGGAACCGAAGAAGAUAAAAUAGUAGAUGGCUUGUAAUGGGAGCAGAAGCAGACAUAUAUAAGUUGGGGAUGUGGGAACCACCUGAAUCUAAUGGGAUGCUUUCAAAAACGCUAGCAUGAACAAGAACUGCGAGCAGUCUGAGGGAAUCUGUUUCCAUUUGGCUACAUUUUCUAUCUAUUAAAGUUUUUUCCUCCUUCGAUCAAUAGUUAAUAAUUUUGCAUAAUGUGUUAAAUUCUUACCCUCCUUGCCGUGCUUAUUUUAUUAUUUACUUUCAUUUUUUCCUGCUAUACAUUGGUGGUUACUAAUGAUGCAUGCUAUUUUCACUUUCAGGUAAACAGAGUCAUGGAACUCCCACAAGAUAGUAAGGUAGUAGCCAAGCACACAGAUAGU